This 27-nucleotide non-coding RNA is filed under the name Rattus norvegicus (Norway rat). The record is from RNAcentral. Lineage: Eukaryota; Metazoa; Chordata; Mammalia; Rodentia; Muridae.
UGUCACACGCAGAGACCGCACUGGAGC